GACGAACGCUGGCGGCGUGCCUAAUACAUGCAAGUAGAACGCAGUUGCGAACGGGGGAGUAAAGCGUAGGUAACUGCCUCAUAGCGGGGGAUAACUAUUGGAAACGAUAGCUAAUAACGCCUACUGUUAGAUGGACCUGCGUUGUAUUAGCUAGUGGGUGGGGUAAAGGCUCACCAAGGCGACGAUACAUAGCCGACCUGAGAGGGUGCUCGGCCACACUGGGACGGAGACACGGCCCAGACUCCUACGGGAGGCAGCAGUAGGGAAUCUUCGGCAAUGGACGGAAGUCUGACCGAGCAACGCCGCGUGAUUGAAGAAGGUUUUCGGAUCGUAAAACUCUGUUGUCAGAGAAGCGGUAUCUAACCAGAAAGCCACGGCUAACUACGUGCCAGCAGCCGCGGUAAUUC
This 407-nucleotide ribosomal RNA is filed under the name uncultured bacterium. RNAcentral's name for it is "partial 16S ribosomal RNA". It matches the Rfam family "Bacterial small subunit ribosomal RNA", at positions 28 to 526 of the family's 1533-position model. The record is from RNAcentral.